UAAAACUUAAAGAAAUGUAUGUAAACUGAUACUGCAAGGCAAUAAUUCAGGUUUUGUCAUGUCUAUGGAAAUAUUGAUACCGAAGAUACUGUUGAUGUAAAAUUCUAGAUCCUCUAUACUCUUCAUAGGUUUCCUUCUAUUGUCCUCAUAGCUGGAUUAAUGAUGUGACCAAGUGUUACGGACCUAUAAGAAAUGGCUCGUGAGGCCCGGAACACAUCAAAUAAACGAAUCAGAAACAACUGUUGCCACUAAAUAAUAACAAAUGUUUAUUGGUUGAAACAAACAAAUAUUUAGAAAGGCAACAAACCAAAAGGGUUGGAGGUUCCCGGCCAAAACAAACAAAAGAGAGGGGAACACUGAGCCAGCCAUCGGCCGUCGAAGUCAGUGUUCACCCCCGAACUAAGUCUGCCUAAAUAACCCACUACCUAAAUGAAAGGAAAAGGUAAUCCGAAAACAGGACUACCGGGAACCCCCGAACCAACUACCAACAUAACAAAAGCUCAAAAGGACUUCUGGCAUGGGGGAAACCGGAGCCUCGGUCUCCUCACCCGUUCACCUGCAUGGAAGAAUAGAGAGCGAGAAAGAAAUUCACAGCCUCCUUAAGUCAGCUCCAGCUGACGAGGUGAUGAGUCUCACCUGAGGACUGGCUGCAUGGAGAGAGAGAGAAAGGUGGAGAGAGGCACAAACACACACACACUUUCUAACACAGAGCCCCACCUCCUGGCCACACGUAACACCAAGUAUAGAAGGGAUCAGGAAUGUUAAACUUUUAUUUUAAGUCAACAUGUAACCUCCAACAUUUUAGAUUAUUUAGUCCAAACAUUUUAUUAAAUUUAUUACAUCUAAUCAAAUUGGACACAAUCAGUAAUUGGUGUUUUGAGCCUAUUUGUUUCACAGCUAUGGAGCUAGAGCCUGAGGCCCUUAAUCUCAAUAUCCUCAAGUAUUUCAAAGGGCAUUUUUAUUCAACUGCAUCAUUUUCAGAAUGACGUUGUUUUUGCUAUAACUUUGCAUGUUGCAACAUUAAGGAUUUUAUCUAGAUUAAAUGUGAUCCUUUACAAGGCUGUAAUUCUGUACAGGCUUCAAAUUGCUGUGUUGUGUUGGGAGGGGACUGUGUAUUCUUGACUCUUGCAGAUUAAGUUAUAUGGGCCGCCAUUCCAAAAUCUACAUUCAAGUCUGCACCUACGGUUCACAAAGAAGGAAUCCUUCACGUUCAGAAAUAAGAGUGCUAGACUGGCUCAAGAACAAGUGAAGUCCUCUAACCUGGAGCAGGUAGUAAGGUAAUGACUUAACUUUUCAUAAUGAACUUCUGCAAUGUUGUAGAAUUGAAAAAUGACAUCUAGGAACUGGCUUUAUGGUAACCUCAAAUAAUUAGUAACAAUAAUGCUUUACUAGCAUUUCUCCUUGGCCACAGGGCCUCCUGACUGAGAUAAAUCCCAAUGUGAUGAUAGAAUAAUAUAGCAGCCAGAUGCUGGGGCAACCCAGUCUCAUCAGAAAACGUUCAGUGGCAACGUUGGUCCACUUGGAACGACGUUACCAUCUCAAAUUCUGGCCUCUCAGAGUGUGAGAUGGUAACAUUUUGUCAGCCCAUUGUUUUGCAUUGGCUUGUUCUCACGUCACGUGACUCACAAGCUCCCGUCUGCGGAGAGGAAAACAUGGCGGAUAUUCCUUUUUUCUCAGAUAAACAUAUAGUUUUGUAACUUAGUUUUGGCAUUAAAAAUACAUUCUGACACCAUUUCUAGCGAGAAAUGUGCUCUUUGCUUCCACAGUCUUCAGCCAGUUCGUGCUUAUGAUAAAUAUUUUAAUAGUUAUCACGAAUGUUUUUAUCGUUGCUAUGAGGGUUGCUAUGAAGCUGCCAUGCCAGCACGGCUCAGCGUGCUGUUAAAAUCAGCGUCCCUGCGUGGUGUCCUUCAGUGAUCGUGAAUGUUAUUCACGUUAUAUAAUAUUAAUAUUUGAGGCUAGAUUACACCUCUAAUGCGAAGGAUCCUGCGAGACCGUUCAUCCCGAAGGGGGACCGACUGCGCCACGGACGGACUGGGCGAGCGGAACUGACGUGUGGCUUUUAGUAAACAUUCUGACCUUAACUCUGGGCUGCGUAGUAACCACCGAGCGCUUGGAAGACAAACGAUGUCGUCUUCCUUCUGUCAGGAGGAUCCAAGUGAAGCUACAGGAGUUUCAUUAACAUCAAUAACUUGGACCGAACACUUUGUUUUGCUUGAUGAAGAGCAGGAAGGGCAACCUGGAGAGAAAGAGAAGCCGGGUUGAGCCCACUACCAUCAUCCACGUACCACGAGGAAGAUGCGGGAGAGAAAUGAUCCUACCAUUAAAGAGAUUCCUGUGUUCUGCUGCUUCUUCUGAAUCAAGAGGAACAAGAGCUGUUUGUGGGACUCGUCUCCAAGAGGACAGGAAGACACAUUCAGAAUAAAUCUGUCUCAAUCAACCUUAUAGACUUUGAGUGGAGUUUCAUAUAGGUUAGUGAGAGCUCUCUCCCUAGGUCAUUUGUCAAUUUGUCUCUUUAAUUUUGUACAUGUAAUCAUAUUAUUCUUCUCCUGUCCACUUAAUAUGAAUCAAUUCAUUUCCAAAUAUGGGUAUGCUUCCUUUCCAUGUACACAAAGGGGAUCAUGCUCCCCUGUCCAAGGGCACGUAAUCAAAUGUAGGACUUGAUCUCUUUAUUUCGUUUGGAUGUAUUUACUUCAUGAAUGUCACUUGUUGAUCUUCCAUGUAAUCAAGUUGCAGAGCUUGUGUUGUUGAAUUAAUAGUUUUAAAGAGAUUCGUCUGAUAGAGGCACUCUUAUUUGACCAGGACCAUUAAAAAUGAAUAAAGAAAGGAAUAUUUCAUGUUGUUUUUAAUUAUCUAGUGUUAUAUAUUAUCUUUGUGGGAUUGAUGUUUUGUCCUGAUACUUGCAUCAUUUCUCCAAGUGUUUUACAAGGUUAAUUUGUUUCAUCACAUGUAAUGAACAGACUGAUAACUGUCAUGUUCUGAAAUCU
Molecule: long non-coding RNA, 2984 nt
Organism: Platichthys flesus (European flounder)
Lineage: Eukaryota; Metazoa; Chordata; Actinopteri; Pleuronectiformes; Pleuronectidae
Exons: 4
Source: RefSeq, a predicted model, not a curated record